RNAcentral lists this ribosomal RNA (438 nucleotides) under uncultured Desulfocapsa sp. Its description in RNAcentral is "bacterial SSU rRNA". It matches the Rfam family "Bacterial small subunit ribosomal RNA", at positions 941 to 1382 of the family's 1533-position model. Lineage: Bacteria; Pseudomonadati; Thermodesulfobacteriota; Desulfobulbia; Desulfobulbales; Desulfocapsaceae. The record is from RNAcentral.
GUGGUUUAAUUCGAUGCAACGCGAAAACCUUACCCACCUUGACAUGUACGGAACCUUUAGAGAUAGAGGGUGCUCGAAAGAGAGCCGUAACACAGGUGCUGCAUGGCUGUCGUCAGCUCGUGUCGUGAGAUGUUGGGUUAAGUCCCGCAACGAGCGCAACCCUUGUCAUUAGUUGCCAGCAUUCAGUUGGGCACUCUAGAGGGACUGCCGGUGUCAAACCGGAGGAAGGUGGGAUGACGUCAAGUCCUCAUGGCCUUUAUGUCUAGGGCUACACACGUACUACAAUGGCCGGUACAAAGGGCAGCCACUCAGCGAUGAGGCGCUAAUCCCAUAAACGCCGGUCCUCAGUCGGAUCGCAGUCUGCAACUCGACUGCGUGAAGUUGGGAUCGCUAGUAAUCGUAGAUCAGCAUGCUACGGUGAAUACGUUCCCGGGCCUU